This is a small nucleolar RNA of Cuculus canorus (common cuckoo), 86 nucleotides long. RefSeq annotates it as small nucleolar RNA SNORD11. The record is from RefSeq and is a predicted model, not a curated record. NCBI's taxonomy places the organism in Eukaryota, Metazoa, Chordata, Aves, Cuculiformes, Cuculidae. The transcript has a single exon.
GUAGUCUGUGAUGAUAAAUUUUUUAGUUGGCCUGAGUUCUUUUUGGUAUAUGAGGGCAACUCAAGUCACUACCUCUUCUGAGACAC